RNAcentral lists this ribosomal RNA (256 nucleotides) under uncultured bacterium. Its description in RNAcentral is "partial 16S ribosomal RNA". It matches the Rfam family "Bacterial small subunit ribosomal RNA", at positions 524 to 776 of the family's 1533-position model. The record is from RNAcentral.
UACGAGGGGGGCGAGCGUUGUUCGGAUUUACUGGGCGUAAAGGGCGCGUAGGCGGUGCGGUAAGUCACCUGUGAAAUCUCUGGGCUCAACUCAGAGUCUGCAGGCGAAACUGCCGUGCUGGAGUAUGGGGAGAGGUGCGUGGAAUUCCCGGGUGUAGCGGUGAAAUGCGUAGAUAUCAGGAGGAACACCGGUGGCGAAGGGCGGGUCUCUGGGCCGAUAUUGACGCUGAGGAGCGAAAGCGUGGGGAGCGAACAGG